GGAUGUGAGGGCAAUCUGGCUGCGACAUCUGUCACCCCAUUGACCGCCAGGGUUGAUGUGGCUGAUCUGGCUGGCCAGGGGGGGGGGCCCCUCACCCUAGGCGGGUGGCCCCUUCCUCCCUCACCAAUCCAGCUACACGCUCGGUCAAAGAGAGGGGAGGACCAGUCUUCCAUCAAGGCCAUAGGAGUAGCUGCGCUCCCCUGCUGGGACCUCCAGACAAGCUCUCAAGGUCCAUCUGCAGGGAAAGUAGGGGAGUCAAGCCCCAAGUCUCCAGGCACAUCCAAAUGAGAGGCUGCACGUGGCAGUCUGCCUUUCUUG
Molecule: small nuclear RNA, 318 nt
Filed under: Myotis davidii
Lineage: Eukaryota; Metazoa; Chordata; Mammalia; Chiroptera; Vespertilionidae
Description: 7SK RNA
Rfam family: 7SK RNA
About the family: 7SK was discovered as an abundant small nuclear RNA in the mid-70s but a possible function has only recently been suggested. Two independent studies have found that 7SK RNA binds the CDK9/cyclin T complex (known as elongation factor P-TEFb).
Source: Rfam by way of RNAcentral